Molecule: RNA transcript, 2639 nt
Organism: Trifolium pratense (red clover)
Lineage: Eukaryota; Viridiplantae; Streptophyta; Magnoliopsida; Fabales; Fabaceae
Exons: 8
Source: RefSeq, a predicted model, not a curated record
UCUGUCAGAAUUUUUUUCAUUUGGCAAGUUUUUUUCUCUCUCUUCUCUCCCCCUCUCUCUCUCUCUCGUACGCUCUUCUCUCCCUCCUCUCUGCCUCAUCUCAUCCAUCACCGUAACAUCCACCACAACCCACACCACCACCUACAAAUCAAUCACUCGUCAGAGGGAGGGAGUGGCCGAGUGUGAGAAUAUUUUCUGGGGAGGGAAGUUCCGGUGAGGAAGAGAGAGUUCCGGCCGUGAUAGAGAGUUCCGGUGGCGUUUCAUGGCGGUGUUUGGCGACGGCUCCAUGGAAGAAUAAUGCUCCUUCAGACCUCCACCUUCCUCCAAGCCAGCCAAAUCUGGUGGUGACAAGCAGAAGAAGGUUCGUUUUUCUCUUCAAAGUUUUUUUUUAAUUUUUUUUUUUGCAGCUUUUGUUUCAUCGUAUGUGUAAUUAAUAGUGAAUUUCAGAGCUUAGAUUCAUUUUUUGUAGACUCAAAUCCAGGUAUAAGUUGUUAUUGCAAACUGAUCAUGCCACAACAACAUCAAAGGAUGACAGAACCUGCCUCUAAUGUGGCAUCUUGCAGUGGAACUGCAAUGGAGAAGUCAUCAAAAGGAUAUUUUAGGAACAUUCAUACAAGUCAUCAGUUUUUACUUUAUCAUUUUAAGAAAAUAUUUAUAUUCUGGAUUCAGUCUAUUAUGCUUCCUAGGAUUUCAGCGUCUAAUUUCGACGUAAAACGUUGUACAGAUAACACUUGCAAUGGCUUCUUUCUAUUGUGAUUAUUUCUCUCCAAAUACGGCUUACAAACCAAAGAUGUGGACAGAAGCUUGGACUGGCUGGUUUGCCGAGUUUGGAGGUCCGGUGCCUCACCGACCUGCUGAAGACUUGGCAUUUUCAAUUGCAAGAUUUAUGCAAAAGGGGGAUCAUUUAUCAAUUACUACAUGGUAACUUCAUUAUUUAUUGAAUUUAAUGUGUAACUUUGUAGGGUUCACCGUAUUUAAAUAUUGAACUUGGCCAUUCAUUUUGUUUAUUUCAAUAUCAUGGUGGAACAAAUUUUGGGAGAACUGUCGGUGGUCCUUUCAUUGCUUCAAGCUAUGACUAUGAUGCACCUCUUGAUGAAUAUGGAUUGCUUAGGCAACCGUAAUGGGGUCAUCUGAAGGAUUUACACAGAGCAAUAAAACUCUCCGAACCGGCUUUAGUUUCUGCAGAUCCAACCGUUACACGGAUUGGAAACUAUCAAGAGGUAUGCAUGACUUGUUUGGAUGUCAAUAAACUCAAAGUGGGCAGCAGAUAUGGCUAUAGGACUUGGUACCGGAGUUCCGUGGAUGUCAAUAAACUCAUCUCUCUUUCAAACUGUUUUUCGUUUUUUAUUUAUUUUAAUUUUUGCAGAAAGCAUUCUAAUGAUAAAAUUGAAUAGUUUUGAUUUUUAACGAUUUAUGUUUUGUGGUGUUUGUUUGUUUGUUUGUGUUGGACAUAGAUAGUUGAAGUUUCAACUUCCAAAACUGGAAAACAUGGAUAUGUUAAGUGACACUGACAUCUUCACUGGCUUGUGAUGUAUUCAAGAGUAUUAAUGUGAUGAAUCUUUUGAAUUCAGAUUGCUCUUCUUUCUCGCUUUCUUUUGGCAUACCUGGCGACGUGAAUGGGUGAACAGGGAGCACACACAACAACAGCGGCAGCCUCCGACGUAGAGCACAAAACGAAGGGAUAAUGACGACUCUGCAAUAGAAUCUGACAUCAAAGGUACCCCUUUCUGUUCAAAAAUAUUGAACUCAAUAGCUAGAGUAUUACUCUUUUGACUAACCAUUAUUCACUUUUAGAAUUUUCACCUUAAGUCGCAACGCAGAGCACAAAACGAAGGGAUAAUGACGACUCUGCAAUUUCUGUUCAAAAAUAUUGAACUCAAUAGCUAGAGUACUCCUCUUUUGACUAACCAUUAUUCACUUUUAGAAUUUUCACCUUAAGUCAUACACUAUUAAAAAUUAUAAUUCAUAAAUUUUCGUCUCUGAUUUAUAAAUGGUGGGUUUGACUAUAAUUGUUGUGAAGGAAAUUUCCUAAUUUUUAAGAUUUUAUUGUUGUCAUGUGCAUCAUAAAAGUAUUGAAAUUAUUCAUUUGUGUGGUUUUGUUUACAUUUUAGUGACUAAGGAAUAAUGAAUUAGGAUUUAUAUAAAAGUGCUUACAUAUCAUUACCAGAAUUUCACUCAUUCUAUUUUUAGCUGUGCAUUUGACAGCAUGUUGAAGCCAUUUGUGACAAUUUUUGCAUAACUAAUACAUGUGCAGUGCAGAUGGGAUAAAUGCAAUUGUAUCAUGAAAGCAUGCUCACAAAAAUGUGUUAACCAAUAGUGUGCAACUAUUUGGUUGCCAUACUUUUCUUUCUUUCCCAGAAAAGUUACAAGCCUCCUAAAAGACCCUUGACAAACAAGGUUCUCAAAAUCAUAGUUUCCAGCUUGCUUUAAUGUGAGAGAUUUGUAGUAGAUAGUAUUUUUGGGAGUUGCUAGAUGGAUUUCAAGAUGAUUCCUAUGAAGUUAGUAACUUAAGAGUUUGAAGAAAAAUUUGUAAAAUCUAAGGAAAGAGUUUCUUUUGUGGUGUUCUUGCAUGUUAUAAGGAAGAUUGACAUGUUAUAACUUAUAACUUAUGAUUCCUAUCUCUAUCAUUUUGUUUUCCA